This 175-nucleotide unclassified non-coding RNA is filed under the name fungal sp. Its description in RNAcentral is "partial internal transcribed spacer region". The stretch from base 1 to 46 matches the Rfam family "Eukaryotic small subunit ribosomal RNA", at positions 1786 to 1831 of the family's 1831-position model. The record is from RNAcentral. Lineage: Eukaryota; Fungi.
AAGUCGUAACAAGGUUUCCGUAGGUGAACCUGCGGAAGGAUCAUUAUUGAAUCACACCUCGCAAGAGGUUAUUCAUUUUCUACACCGUGAACCUGCUUCGGCAACACAUCAUAUGUCAUGAAUGUAUAAUUCUAUAAUAAUAAAACAACUUUCAACAACGGAUCUCUUGGCUCUC